UCUGCAUGCUCUUUGGAGCAGGACAGGAAUCCAGUGUCACCUGUCCCAGUUAAGGGCUCUGAUCAUCAGGCCAGAUAAGAGCACGUCUCACUCAAGAAACAGUAAUUUAAUAAAAAAUCAGUUCCAGUGGGAAGGAACUGAGGGAGGUCUGUUCUACAGGCAGGGCUGGAAUUCUUGCUUGAGAGGUGUGACACUGGUUAUCUUCUCUGCUUAUAUCCAUGUAGUGCCCAACUAAAAUACUCCAUUAAUAUUAGGUUUAAUGGGACAAAUAAUUAUUUUGUUGAAUCAUAGGGAAAUCUGAUAGAGAUAGGAAAGAAGUGUUAAAGCAGUAUUAAAGUUUUGAUAGCAUAGAGAGAAGUAGCACAUGGAACCUGGUGAUGUGAAGAAACUCGUUACAUUUCAGAUGGGGUUCCUUUGGGGCAGGAGCCACCUCUUCCUCUAUGGUAGCUCAUGGAGCAUAAAAACCAGAUUGUGAAAAUGGUGUGGGUUACAUAACUGGCCUGUCCAGGUGAACUUUGUAAGCACUGAAAUGUGUUGAAGCAGAGGGGACAGCAGAGUAUUCUGUUUGAUUUAGAAAAGGUGUCAAAAAUCUACUUGUCACAGACAACCUAAGGAUAACUAUAUAUGCUUUGUUUAGGGCUGCAGACAUCCUCUAUUUUAAAAUAAAGUGCAGACAAGGCCAGUGUAUGCUCUAAGAGGAGCAUGCACUUACACCUCGACUAAAAAUGUCUAAAAUGUGCAAUUACAUGUGCACAGCUACUACAACUGGCCCUGCCAGUCUGGGGCACAGGAAGCCCGUGUUAGCUGGGUGUUCAGUGUAGCUGCCCAACCUGACUGCUUGUAGGUCAGGAUCUGAGACUGAAACAUGGUAUGCAAAAGUUGCUUUAGGAGUUGCAGUUGGGAAAAUACUAACACAAAGGUGUUAGACACCAUGUAUCUAGAUUCAGCUCCACAGAUGUCAAGAAGUGUGGAUGGUCUCAUUCUGCCCUGAAAUAGGAAAAUAAAAAGAUUUCUUGAUAGGAAGGGUGUGGGUGUACUCAUACAUCUUCACAAGUGGGAAGACCUCUUGGUGACAGAGAAUGUUAAUUUUGAGUAACAUUCAAGCCAAAUUUAGUGGGCUUUUCCAUGAAUGUUAUUGAACCACACUCUGCAGCUGCAUCUCAUUGUGGCUUUUUCAUCAUGGAAGAAAAUAUGCAGUUGAUCUGCACAGUUGGAUUUUAAUAUUUUAAUGAUAGCCCUUCAAAAGGAAAACAGCAACUCAGGCUGCUGAGAAAAAAACACAAUCAGGAACAGUACACAUGAACGUGUGAGUUUAGAAGGGCCACUGACACACAGGAGCUCACUACAGACCUCUCACAGAUCCCUCCACUCCUCAGCCAUCUGCUGUGGUGGAGGUGAGAGGUGUUCCUGGGCUGGACUCUGCCCAGUGCUGCUGCAGCUGCUUGCUUUUCCCAGCCCUCUGGAGGAUGUGUCACACUGGUGGUGUGAUUCUGCAUGUCUGUGUGGCAGUGCUGGGCUGCACUGCUGCCACACAGUCUCACCUUGCAGUAGGAUUGUUUAGUGCCAGUUAAAUGCUUUUCUUCAGCGUGACAAUCCACACUGCUCUGACUGAUCACUGAGUAUUUUUCACUGGAGCCAUAGGCAGGUGUUUCAGGAGUUUAGGACCAUCCUGUUGUCCUUCCCCUCUUCUCUCCCAGCCAUAUAGGAAGUCAUCCUGUGAGAUGAGAAGAGAAGGGGACCAGCUGUUAGCCUUGCCAGGGCCAUGGCCAGCAGCUGUGGUGGAAUCCUCCUUGUGCCACCAGUAGGGCCAGGAGCAGGCUGACCUCAGCAGCGGGAGCACGUCAGUCAGGUUCACCUUGCUCUUAAUCCAUGUGAAGAUCCGUUGGAAACGCCUCUAGAAACCCAAGAGUUUUCAGUCUCCUGAUAAGUUCUGUUGUGUCCAAGAACAGCCUGCCCAAAUGAGCAAGACAUCCCAACAGAACAGCACCACAGAUGCGAGCGGAGUAAGUGUGAUUCACACUCAAGCACACUCCAGUGGUUUGCAGCAGGUUCCCCAGCUGGUGCCUGUCAGUCCUGGUGGUGGAGGCAAAGCUGUGCCUCCGAGCAAACAGGGAAAGAAAAGUUCCUUUGUGGAUAGGAACAGUGAUGAGUAUCGUCAGCGCAGAGAGCGGAACAACAUGGCAGUGAAAAAGAGCCGCUUAAAAAGCAAGCAGAAAGCACAAGACACACUGCAAAGGGUCAACCAGCUCAAAGAAGAAAAUGAACGUUUAGAGGCAAAAAUUAAACUCCUGACCAAGGAGCUGAGCGUACUGAAAGACUUGUUCCUUGAGCAUGCCCACAAUUUUGCAGAUAACGUGCAACCUGUUGGCACUGAGACCACCACAACAAAUCCAGAAAACAGUGGACAGUAGACACCUGCGACCUUAUGAAACAAACUCUGGAGCUGCAGCUUGCCUGCAGUGCCCGUGCAGUAACCCAGCAAAAACUGUACCUUUAGUCAUUGUUUUGUGGAGAUUUUCUUCUUUUAGAUUUAACACUGAAGAUUUGUAACAAUUAAACCAGAAACUGGUUAACUGUUUGUUUUAAAUACUUUUCUCCUCAAAGAUUUACGCAGAUCUGAACUCCUAGUCAACGAGAAAUGUAAUAUUUAGGAGAUAGCAUUUUCACAGGAAGAUUCACUUACAUUUUAGACUUUGCAUAAUGGGAGGAAUCCAGCAGCAUGGCUCACUGUAGCAUCAGAAACAUGUGAUUGGAUAGAACGUCUUUUAAAUACCUGUUAGAGUAUUUUAGCCCUUUGUUUUCUCCAUUUCAUAUUACAAACUGCAAAGGCUGUGGAGAAUUUUUGCUUUUUAUAUAAAUCUGUAGAAUUGAAGUCCUAUGAAGCACCACGUAGGUCCCUCCUGCCCAG
Molecule: RNA transcript, 2908 nt
Organism: Passer montanus (Eurasian tree sparrow)
Lineage: Eukaryota; Metazoa; Chordata; Aves; Passeriformes; Passeridae
Gene: CEBPG
Gene name: CCAAT enhancer binding protein gamma
Exons: 3
Source: RefSeq, a predicted model, not a curated record